CCUACGGGUGGCAGCAGUGGGGAAUAUUGCGCAAUUGGCGCAAGCCUGACGCAGCGACGCCGCGUGAGGGAAGAAGGUCUUCGGAUCGUAAAGCUCUGUCAGCAGGGAAGAACGGUUACUGUGCUAAUCAGCAGUGAAUUGACGGUACCUGCAAAAGAAGCACCGGCUAACUCCGUGCCAGCGGCCGCGGUAAUACGGAGGGUGCAAGCGUUAAUCGGAAUUACUUGGCGUAAAGCGCUCGUAGGCGGUUUGUCAACGCAGGGGUGAAAUCCCCGCGCUUAACGUGGGAAUUGCCUUUGAUACUGGGUAACUAGAGUGUGUGAGAGGAGAGUGGAAUUCCAUGUGUAGGGGUGAAAUGCGUAGAGAGGUGGAGGAACACCAGUGGCGAAGGCGACUAUCUGGCACAUAACUGACGCUGAGGAGCGAAAGCGUGGGUAGCAAACAGGAUUAGAUACCCUUGUAGUC
RNAcentral lists this ribosomal RNA (465 nucleotides) under uncultured bacterium. RNAcentral's name for it is "partial 16S ribosomal RNA". It matches the Rfam family "Bacterial small subunit ribosomal RNA", at positions 338 to 795 of the family's 1533-position model. The record is from RNAcentral.